This 345-nucleotide ribosomal RNA is filed under the name uncultured bacterium. RNAcentral describes it as "bacterial SSU rRNA". It matches the Rfam family "Bacterial small subunit ribosomal RNA", at positions 1 to 334 of the family's 1533-position model. The record is from RNAcentral.
CUAGCGACUUCAGAGUUUGAUCCUGGCUCAGGAUGAACGCUAGCGGCAGGCUUAACACAUGCAAGUCGAGGGGCAGCAUAAACAUUGCUUGCAAUGUUUGAUGGCGACCGGCGCACGGGUGCGUAACGCGUAUGUAACCUACCUCAAACAGGGGCAUAACACUGAGAAAUUGGUACUAAUUCCCCAUAACACUUUGGGAGGCAUCUCCUGGGGUUGAAAGUUCCGGCGGUUUGAGAUGGACAUGCGUUGUAUUAGCUAGUUGGUGAGGUAACGGCUCACCAAGGCGACGAUACAUAGGGGGACUGAGAGGUUAACCCCCCACAUUGGUACUGAGACACGGACCAA